UCCGUAGGCGGUCAGAUAAGUCAGUGGUGAAAGCCCAUCGCUCAACGGUGGAACGGCCAUUGAUACUGUUAGACUUGAAUUAUUAGGAAGUAACUAGAAUAUGUAGUGUAGCGGUGAAAUGCUUAGAGAUUACAUGGAAUACCAAUUGCGAAGGCAGGUUACUACUAAUGGAUUGACGCUGAUGGACGAAAGCGUGGGUAGCGAACA
Molecule: ribosomal RNA, 207 nt
Filed under: uncultured bacterium
Lineage: Bacteria
Description: partial 16S ribosomal RNA
Rfam family: Bacterial small subunit ribosomal RNA
Source: RNAcentral